UUCCCCUUCAUCUUUAAUGGGUGUUUUCUGUAAUGACCAAUGAGCAUGUUUAAACAUGCUUCCUACUUUUUGGUUCUGCACUUGAACGUUGUUGGCUACCAACGCAAGGGAGAGGAUGUUUUAAGGGACAUCUUCAGCUGAUCAUGAAUAGCCUUUGAAGAGGAAAAACUGAGACAAUGCAUCCUUGUGUGUUUAUUUGAAGAAACCGAUCGAUGUUCAAGGAAUCUAUUAUUUGUUAUGAUGAGACUAAAACAAUUAAUCCAACUUUAAUUGUUGAAUCGCCAGAAGAUAAUAACAAAUAAGAAUAUUAGAUUUUUUAAAAAGAAAAUUAAUUAAGUAAACAUCCACAACCAUGCAGGAUAUUGAUAACUUAUGACUGAAUAUAUAGUAAUAAAAUAAAAUACUACUAAUUCCAGAAGAGAACAUAAUAGAAAAACUAUUCUAUACAACACACUUUCCUUCUUGAUCAAUUCUUGCUCCUUCCCUCAACUACUAGCACUUCUUGCAUAUCCACGACCCUAGGCUUCGUCAUGCGCAUGCUUUAGCGUAACAUAAAUACUGGUGCACACUAGUAGUAAGGAGGAGGAGGAGGGUGAUUCCAAGGCGGAGGUGGCCUGUAUGGAUCAAAAAAAGGUGGUGGAGGAGGACCAGGAGGAGGAGGAGGAGGAGCUGCCCAUUGGGGAAAUUGAGAUACUUACAAAUUCUAGCUAGCUAGCAAGCAGCAGAGCAGCUUCUAUGGGAGCAAG
Molecule: unclassified non-coding RNA, 746 nt
Filed under: Hevea brasiliensis (rubber tree)
Lineage: Eukaryota; Viridiplantae; Streptophyta; Magnoliopsida; Malpighiales; Euphorbiaceae
Source: RNAcentral